RNAcentral lists this ribosomal RNA (823 nucleotides) under uncultured bacterium. Its description in RNAcentral is "bacterial SSU rRNA". It matches the Rfam family "Bacterial small subunit ribosomal RNA", at positions 64 to 896 of the family's 1533-position model. The record is from RNAcentral.
GAACGCCGGGUAGCAAUACCUGGAGUGGCGCACGGGUGCGUAACGCGUAACCAACCUACCUACAACUGGGGGAUAGCCCGCCGAAAGGCGGAUUAAUACCGCAUAUACCAGCAGCCCGGCAUCGGGGAAUUGGGAAAGAUUUAUUGGUUGUAGAUGGGGUUGCGUGCCAUUAGCUAGUUGGCGGGGUAACGGCCCACCAAGGCGACGAUGGCUAGGGGACCUGAGAGGGUGAUCCCCCACACUGGCACUGAGAUACGGGCCAGACUCCUACGGGAGGCAGCAGUAGGGAAUAUUGGGCAAUGGGCGAGAGCCUGACCCAGCCAUGCCGCGUGCAGGAUGAAGGCCUUCUGGGUUGUAAACUGCUUUUCUCAGGGAAGAAAAAGGGGAUGCGUCCCAAACUGACGGUACCUGAGGAAUAAGCACCGGCUAACUCCGUGCCAGCAGCCGCGGUAAUACGGAGGGUGCAAGCGUUGUCCGGAUUUAUUGGGUUUAAAGGGUGCGUAGGUGGCCCGUUAAGUCCGGGGUGAAAGCCUCUUGCUCAACAAGAGAACUGCCCUGGAUACUGGCGGGCUUGAGUCCAGACGAGGUUGGCGGAAUGGAUGGUGUAGCGGUGAAAUGCAUAGAUACCAUCCAGAACCCCGAUUGCGUAGGCAGCUGACUAGGCUGGUACUGACACUGAGGCACGAAAGCGUGGGGAGCGAACAGGAUUAGAUACCCUGGUAGUCCACGCCGUAAACGAUGGAUACUCGUUGCUAGCGAUACACCGUUAGUGACUUAGCGAAAGCGUUAAGUAUCCCACCUGGGGAGUACGCUCGCAAGAGUG